CUUCAGCGAGCCGAGGAGCAGCGGCUGCUCCGGGCUGUGCUCGCGGCCGUAGGUGGCCAGCAGCGCCUGUGCCUC
This 75-nucleotide antisense RNA is filed under the name Streptomyces malaysiensis. Its description in RNAcentral is "ASpks TB sRNA". It matches the Rfam family "ASpks TB sRNA". The record is from Rfam by way of RNAcentral. Lineage: Bacteria; Bacillati; Actinomycetota; Actinomycetes; Kitasatosporales; Streptomycetaceae.